AUUGAACGCUGGCGGCGUGCCUAACACAUGCAAGUCGAGCGGUAACAGGUGUAGCAAUACAUGCUGACGAGCGGCGAACGGGUGAGUAAUGCUUUGGAAUCUUCCCAGUGGUGGGGAAUAACCAGUCGAAAGAUUGGCUAAUACCGCAUACGUCUGUAAAGGGAAAGCGGGGGCUCGUAAGACCUCGCGCUAUUGGAUGAGCCAAAGUCGGAUUAGCUAGUUGGGGGGUAAUGGCCUACCAAGGCGACAAUCCGUAGCUGGUCUGAGAGGACGACCAGCCACACCGGAACUGAGACACGGUCCGGACUCCUACGGGAGGCAGCAGUGGGGAAUAUUGGACAAUGGGGGAAACCCUGAUCCAGCGACGCCGCGUGUGUGAAGAAGGCCUGCGGGUUGUAAAGCACUUUUAGUGGGGACAAAAAGCUACGGAUUAAUACUCUGUGGUCUUGAUUUAACCCAAAGAAAAGCACCGGCUAACUCUGUGCCAGCA
This 490-nucleotide ribosomal RNA is filed under the name uncultured bacterium. RNAcentral describes it as "bacterial SSU rRNA". It matches the Rfam family "Bacterial small subunit ribosomal RNA", at positions 30 to 513 of the family's 1533-position model. The record is from RNAcentral.